AGAUUGAACGCUAGCGGGAUGCUUUACACAUGCAAGUCGAACGGCAGCGCGGACUUCGGUCUGGCGGCGAGUGGCGAACGGGUGAGUAAUAUAUCGGAACGUGCCCAGUAGCGGGGGGAUAACUACGCGAAAGCGUGGCUAAUACCGCAUACGCCCUACGGGGGAAAGGGGGGGAUUCUUCGGAACCUCUCACUAUUGGAGCGGCCGAUAUCAGAUUAGCUAGUUGGUGAGGUAAAGGCUCACCAAGGCGACGAUCUGUAGCUGGUUUGAGAGGACGACCAGCCACACUGGGACUGAGACACGGCCCAGACUCCUACGGGAGGCAGCAGUGGGGAAUUUGGACAAUGGGGGAAACCCUGAUCCAGCCAUCCCGCGUGUGCGAUGAAGGCCUUCGGUUGUAAAGCACUUUGGCAGGAAGAACGGCGCCGCCUAAGUACGGGCGUCGACUGACGUACCUGCAGAAUAAGCACCGGCUAACUACGUGCCAGCGAGCCGACGGUAACUCGUGA
This 509-nucleotide ribosomal RNA is filed under the name uncultured soil bacterium. RNAcentral describes it as "bacterial SSU rRNA". It matches the Rfam family "Bacterial small subunit ribosomal RNA", at positions 26 to 530 of the family's 1533-position model. The record is from RNAcentral.